Molecule: non-coding RNA, 72 nt
Organism: Babesia microti strain RI
Lineage: Eukaryota; Apicomplexa; Aconoidasida; Piroplasmida; Babesiidae
Source: the annotation of a RefSeq genome assembly
GCUCUUGUCGUUUAAUUGAUAGGACAAUUUCUUUUCAUGAAAUAAAUAGGAAUUAAAAUUUCCUCAAGGGUA